GGGUUUGAUUAUGGCUCAGAUUGAACGCUGGCGGCAUGCCUUACACAUGCAAGUCGAACGGUAACAGGUCUUCGGAUGCUNACGAGUGGCGAACGGGUGAGUAAUACAUCGGAACGUGCCCGAUCGUGGGGGAUAACGCAGCGAAAGCUGUGCUAAUACCGCAUACGAUCUACGGAUGAAAGCGGGGGAUCGCAAGACCUCGCGCGGACGGAGCGGCCGAUGGCAGAUUAGGUAGUUGGUGGGAUAAAAGCUUACCAAGCC
RNAcentral lists this ribosomal RNA (261 nucleotides) under uncultured beta proteobacterium. RNAcentral describes it as "partial 16S ribosomal RNA". It matches the Rfam family "Bacterial small subunit ribosomal RNA", at positions 9 to 274 of the family's 1533-position model. Lineage: Bacteria; Pseudomonadati; Pseudomonadota; Betaproteobacteria. The record is from RNAcentral.